GACAACUAAUGGAUCGGACUUAUUAGCUCGCAAAUCUUGAACUGGCCAACGACUUCCCGGCGUCUUCGCCCUUUCCCUCGCAAGCUCGCCUGAGGGUGCUUAGGGUUUGGAUCUUCUGAUCUAAUCCACUCCGAUAGCAGUCGCCCGAGGGAACACGGCUAGGUUUUCGUUCCUAAGUCGGGAGUCCGGUCUAUGAUUUCAGUUUUUGCGUCUUUGUCGGGAUUUCUAGUCCAGUCCAGUCCAGUCCAGUCUCUUUGGCAACAACUGGAACAUCCGAAUAGAACCAAUUGUGUCGAGGGAGCUCAACAUGGUUGAUUUAGUUGAUGAGGUCCGUGCAUAGCUUACCAUGAAAAGAAGAUGCUGCAAAGAUAGGCAUUGUUUGUAUGUUGGCAACUAUAUGGAAGUGCAAUAACAUGCCGAACAAGAACACCCUCACUCUUGGCCAUCAUAUAUGCGGAUCAAUGGUUCUCAGAAAUGAUAGAUGUUGAGUAUUAUUCAUGAAGAAGUGCCUCAAUUGGUGGUGUUUGGGGACUGUAUCACUGAGCAUGGGCCAUAGAGUGAUGCUAUAUUUGAAGAGUUUCCUUGGGAAUGAUGGCAAUUGGUGGAGCUCUUGUAUCGUUUCUCAUGUCUUAGACAGCUUCAGAUCAUCAAGGGAUUGGCAGCAAUUAAGAAAUGAUGAUACAUGUAGGGUUAGCCUUAGAUCAACCUAUGAUGCUCAUAUGGGUGAUGGUUCUGUAGCAUCUACCAAUAUGUUAGAAUAUCAUUUUGAUGGUAUUGAUGAAGAGUUUGGAGGAGCAGAUGGUGGAGCAGCAUCUAGAAGAAGCUAGUCAUCGCAGAGUGGAUAACAAAGAGAGGGAGCAACCUAGACUGGGCAAGAUGUGCUGAAGGAUUUAUUGCAGGGCCGGACUUGCUGGCCGCCCAGUUCACAGACGUCCGUUCGCGGGAACCACACAAACUGUUUUCUUUAGCCCCCACUUGAUGGGUUCCGUGAACCAGUGGAUACGCGAUCCGUCAUUGGCGAUUGACCGUCCGCCAGUAUCGCGGGUCGCACUCGGGUGCCGCACGAAGCCAAAGAGCAAGCCGCCGUAGCGGGCGUUACGUUCGACAGGUGAGACGCAUCGGCGGGCGACGGUAACCAAGCGCGACGUCUUUAA
Long non-coding RNA from Musa acuminata AAA Group (dessert banana), 1154 nucleotides. RefSeq lists it as uncharacterized. NCBI's taxonomy places the organism in Eukaryota, Viridiplantae, Streptophyta, Magnoliopsida, Zingiberales, Musaceae. The record is from RefSeq and is a predicted model, not a curated record. The transcript is spliced from 3 exons.